Non-coding RNA from Salmo salar (Atlantic salmon), 54 nucleotides. The record is from Rfam. Lineage: Eukaryota; Metazoa; Chordata; Actinopteri; Salmoniformes; Salmonidae.
UUAUCUAUGUGUUGUAAGUCGCUCUGGAUAAGAGCGUCUGCUAAAUGACUUAAA